GCCUAUAAUGCAAGUCGAACGAGAUCUUCGGAUCUAGUGGCGCACGGGUGCGUAACGCGUGGGAAUCUGCCCUUGGGUUCGGAAUAACGUCGGGAAACUGACGCUAAUACCGGAUGAUGACGAAAGUCCAAAGAUUUAUCGCCCAGGGAUGAGCCCGCGUAGGAUUAGCUAGUUGGUGAGGUAAAGGCUCACCAAGGCUACGAUCCUUAGCUGGUCUGAGAGGAUGAUCAGCCACACUGGGACUGAGACACGGCCCAGACUCCUACGGGAGGCAGCAGUAGGGAAUAUUGGACAAUGGGGGCAACCCUGAUCCAGCAAUGCCGCGUGAGUGAUGAAGGCCUUAGGGUUGUAGAGCUCUUUUACCCGAGAUGAUAAUGACAGUAUCGGGAGAAUAAGCUCCGGCUAACUCCGUGCCAGCAGCCGCGGUAAUACGGAGGGAGCUAGCGUUGUUCGGAAUUACUGGGCGUAAAGCGCACGUAGGCGGCGAUUUAAGUCAGAGGUGAAAGCCCGGGGCUCAACCCCGGAACUGCCUUUGAGACUGGACUGCUUGAAUCCUGGAGAGGUGAGUGGAAUUCCGAGUGUAGAGGUGAAAUUCGUAGAUAUUCGGAAGAACACCAGUGGCGAAGGCGGCUCACUGGACAGGUAUUGACGCUGAGGUGCGAAAGCGUGGGGAGACAAACAGGAUUAGAUACCCUGGUAGUCCACGCCGUAAACGAUGAUAACUAGCUGCCGGGG
This 735-nucleotide ribosomal RNA is filed under the name uncultured Sphingobium sp. Its description in RNAcentral is "bacterial SSU rRNA". It matches the Rfam family "Bacterial small subunit ribosomal RNA", at positions 46 to 828 of the family's 1533-position model. Lineage: Bacteria; Pseudomonadati; Pseudomonadota; Alphaproteobacteria; Sphingomonadales; Sphingobiaceae. The record is from RNAcentral.